RNAcentral lists this long non-coding RNA (1871 nucleotides) under Nicotiana tabacum (common tobacco). RNAcentral's name for it is "long non-coding RNA (NTAB_LNC008057)". The record is from RNAcentral. Lineage: Eukaryota; Viridiplantae; Streptophyta; Magnoliopsida; Solanales; Solanaceae.
GUGAAGUAGCAAAGGAGGAAACUGUUGUCACAAAUGUGAAAAUCCUGAAGAAAAGUAACGUAAAACCACAUAAACCACUAGGCAAAAAAGAGUGCCAAUUGGUAACAUUUGAUCUUCCUUACUUAGCUUUCUAUUACAACCAAAAACUGCUGAUCUAUAAGGGUGCUGAAAACUUUGAGGAAACGGUGGAAAAACUGAAAGAUGGUCUUGCCUUAGUGUUGGAAGAUUUCUAUCAACUAGCUGGGAAACUGGGAAAAGAUGAAGAGGAGGUUUUCAAGGUGGAAUACGACGAUGACAUGGACGGCGCGGAGGUGAUAGCGGCCGCCGCAGAAGGGAUUGAAGUUGCAGAUCUUACGGAUGAAGAAGGCACCUCCAAAUUCCUGGAUUUAAUUCCUUGUAAUAAAAUCUUGAAUUUUGAAGGGCUUCACCGGCCUCUUCUGGCUGUGCAGGUAAAUGCUUCAAUGCUCCAUAAAUGAAUUUUAAGUUAUACUCCCUCCGUUCACUUUUACUUGACACGUUUUGACUUUUCACGUCCUUCACUUUUACUUGACACGUUUUGACUUUUCACGCCCCUUAAACAAUAAUAAAUGAAGUGCAUGAUUUAUCAUGAUACUCAUAUUAAUUGAUGUAUAUUUUAUUGAAUUUGAGAAAAUGAUUUGAGAUGAGUAAUAAAUAUUGUAAGUAUAAGUAGAAAAAAAAAUUGUCGCGCAAAGUGACAAAUACAUGCCAAGUAAAAGUGAACGGAGGAAGUAUAUACAUUUUACGUGAUUGUUGUAAUUUAAAGUAAUUCGAUUGUAUUAAUACUGUUAGUGUGACACUCAUAAUUUAUUAUUGGCUAUUCUUCAGAAUGAGUUUCAGCUAUUCAUAUGCUUACGUACAUUUAAUGCCCAUAGAGGUUUGGCGGUGGCACAGAAACUAGAAAUGUUGUAUCGAGUUUAUUUCUGAUCAGGAUGUUAAUUUUAGGAAAGAUCCACAACUUUUACUACAAAAGGAAAUGAUACUGUAUCACAAUCAUUUUAAAGUUCCAAGCAUAAGCCAGUCGAUGUGCUAAUACUCCAAUCUUGCUUAUAAACAAAUUAAAUCGUUUAGCUACAUCGUGGUGUUAGGGUUGGUAUUCAAUUAAGACAAAGAUCACUUAAUUAAUGUGAUGAUAAGUUGAACAAUUUAUCCAUAAUAUCAUGAUGGUUCCUAUUGGGGGAAAACAACUUUUUUUAAAUUGAAAAUAAGACCACAAAUUAAAUGUCUAACGACAUUCACAACUAAGUUUUAUCCACUGAUAUAUAUUCUUAGUGUAAUCUGACUAACUCUUAAAGUAUAAAUCUUCUAUCCUUUUUUCAGAAUUACCAAUUUUGUGUAGAUGCUGCAUUUAGUAAAUAAACUUAAAAUGAUCUUUAUUGUAUGAAUAUUUUCUUUACAUUAAAGUUCAUUUGAAAAAGACGCAGAAUAGCAAUUAAUUUGUUGGACCCGUUGAUGACUUAUUUUGUGGUCUCAUUUUAUUUUGGGCAACUACCGACAGCUCACCAAGCUCAAGGAUGGACUCACCAUUGGAAUAGCAUUUAAUCAUGCUGUACUGGACGGUACUUCCACGUGGCACUUCAUGACCUCCUGGGCCGAGCUCUGUUGUGGGUCCACCUCCAUCUCGGUCCCACCUUUCCUCGAACGCACCAAAGCUCGCAACACCCGAGUCAAGCUCAACCUUUCCCCGCCAUCCGACGCACCAGAAUCUGCUAAGUCAGCAACCAAUGGUGAAGUCAUCCCCAGCGUGGACCCACCUCUCCGCGAAAGGCUCUUCAAGUUCUCCGAGUCAGCAAUUGACCAAAUCAAGUCAAAGGUCAACACUAAUCCCCCAGAGGGAUCCUCCGCCCCAUUCU